GGGAUUACCUCAGUAACGGCGAGUGAAGCGGUAACAGCUCAAAUUUGAAAUCUGGCUCUUUCAGGGUCCGAGUUGUAAUUUGUAGAAGAUGCUUCGGGUGUGGCUCCGGUCUAAGUUCCUUGGAACAGGACGUCAUAGAGGGUGAGAAUCCCGUAUGUGACUGGGUGCCUUCGCUCAUGUGAAGCUCUUUCGACGAGUCGAGUUGUUUGGGAAUGCAGCUCAAAAUGGGUGGUAAAUUUCAUCUAAAGCUAAAUAUUGGCCAGAGACCGAUAGCGCACAAGUAGAGUGAUCGAAAGAUGAAAAGCACUUUGGAAAGAGAGUUAAACAGUACGUGAAAUUGUUGAAAGGGAAGCGCUUGCAACCAGACUUGCCCGCCGUCGAUCAUCCGGGGUUCUCCCCGGUGCACUCGGCGGCGUUCAGGCCAGCAUCGGUUUCGGGGGUGGGAUAAAGGCCUUGGGAAUGUAGCUUCUUUCGGGGAGUGUUAUAGCCCUCGGUGCAAUGCCGCCACCCGGGACCGAGGACCGCGCUUCGGCUAGGAUGCUGGCGUAAUGGUUGUAAGCGACCCGUCUUGAAACACGGACCAAGGAGUCUAACAUCUAUGCGAGUGUUUGGGUGUCAAACCCAUACGCGUAAUGAAAGUGAACGGAGGUGAGAACCCUUAAGGGCGCAUCAUCGACCGAUCCUGAUGUCUUCGGAUGGAUUUGAGUAAGAGCAUAGCUGUUGGGACCCGAAAGAUGGUGAACUAUGCGUGAAUAGGGUGAAGCCAGAGGAAACUCUGGUGGAGGCUCGCAGCGGUUCUGACGUGCAAAUCGAUCGUCAAAUUUGCGUAUAGGGGCGAAGACUAAUCGAACCAUCUA
This 857-nucleotide ribosomal RNA is filed under the name Tricladium chaetocladium. Its description in RNAcentral is "eukaryotic LSU rRNA". It matches the Rfam family "Eukaryotic large subunit ribosomal RNA", at positions 71 to 946 of the family's 3401-position model. The record is from RNAcentral. Lineage: Eukaryota; Fungi; Ascomycota; Leotiomycetes; Helotiales; Tricladiaceae.